GCAUAUCAAUAAGCGGAGGAAAAGAAACCAACAGGGAUUGCCCUAGUAACGGCGAGUGAAGCGGCAACAGCUCAAAUUUGAAAUUUGGCUCUUUCAGGGUCCGAGUUGUAAUUUGCAGAGGGCGCUUUGGCUUUGGCAGCGGUCCAAGUUCCUUGGAACAGGACGUCACAGAGGGUGAGAAUCCCGUACGUGGUCGCUGGCUAUUGCCGUGUAAAGCCCCUUCGACGAGACGAGUUGUUUGGGAAUGCAGCUCUAAAUGGGAGGUAAAUUUCUUCUAAAGCUAAAUACUGGCCAGAGACCGAUAGCACACAAGUAGAGUGAUCGAAAGAUGAAAAGCACUUUGGAAAGAGAGUCAAACAGUACGUGAAAUUGUUGAAAGGGAAGCGCUUGCAGCCAGACUUGCUUGCAGUUGCUCAUCCGGGCUUUUGCCCGGUGCACUCUUCUGCAGGCAGGCCAGCAUCAGUUUGGGCGGUGGGAUAAAGGUCUCUGUCACGUACCUCUCUUCGGGGAGGCCUUAUAGGGGAGACGACAUACCACCAGCCUGGACUGAGGUCCGCGCAUUCGCUAGGAUGCUGGCGUAAUGGCUGUAAGCGGCCCGUCUUGAAACACGGACC
RNAcentral lists this ribosomal RNA (614 nucleotides) under uncultured fungus. RNAcentral's name for it is "LSU rRNA". It matches the Rfam family "Eukaryotic large subunit ribosomal RNA", at positions 38 to 667 of the family's 3401-position model. The record is from RNAcentral. Lineage: Eukaryota; Fungi.